AAAUGAUAAUGGCACACCUAUUGAAAAAUAGGGCCGCAAAGCUAAAGGGGCUAAGGUGUUUUACACUAUGCCAGCCAGUUGCCGAA
RNAcentral lists this non-coding RNA (86 nucleotides) under Tepidibacillus decaturensis. Its description in RNAcentral is "c-di-GMP-I riboswitch aptamer". It matches the Rfam family "c-di-GMP-I riboswitch aptamer". Rfam says of the family: GEMM was predicted in a large-scale screen for bacterial structured RNA regulatory elements. Genes associated with GEMM are involved in a diverse array of functions, including chemotaxis regulation, signal transduction, secretion and chitin. Lineage: Bacteria; Bacillati; Bacillota; Bacilli; Caryophanales; Bacillaceae. The record is from Rfam by way of RNAcentral. RNAcentral also lists the same sequence under 2 other names.